This is a non-coding RNA of Solanum tuberosum (potato), 215 nucleotides long. Lineage: Eukaryota; Viridiplantae; Streptophyta; Magnoliopsida; Solanales; Solanaceae. The record is from Rfam.
ACGACCUUACUUGAACAGGAUCUGUUCUAUAGGCUCGUACCACUGAAUCCUUGAUUUCUAAGGAGACAGGAAACCAAGUCUGGUGGAUGAAUCAUGGCCAUGAGACUCGAGCGUGAUUGACAGCCUCCAUGGCCUUUCGGGGUCAUGGUGCAGUAGAUGAUCGUUCUCAACCUGGUUUACCGGCUUGAGAUGGUCUCAUGGCUGUCUGACAGACU